This 506-nucleotide long non-coding RNA is filed under the name Phoenix dactylifera (date palm). RNAcentral's name for it is "long non-coding RNA (PDAC_LNC014344)". The record is from RNAcentral. Lineage: Eukaryota; Viridiplantae; Streptophyta; Magnoliopsida; Arecales; Arecaceae.
ACAAGCAAAUACUAGACAAUAUGAAAAGAGAAGAGUUAGAAGCCCUCAAACAGAUUUUGGAAGAGGAAGAAGGGGCUUCUCGAACUCUGAGUCUUCUCUUUGAAUGCGCUAAAGAUUUGAUGUCAGAAGGAGAGCCUUGAAUGCGAAGGAAAGAGUUUGUUGGAUGGAGUUCAAUGCGCUUCUUCCUUCUUUCUCUUGUAUUUACUCUUGAGAGUCUUUGGUAGGUGGAAAUUCCUUUUGUUUGAAUGGAAUAGCUCUCUUGGUGUCUACUACUGUUCACUCUGGCUAUUUAAGCAGUCCCCUUUGAAAACUAGCCGUUAGACACUAAUUUGUGGCUGUUUUGCACAAUCUGCAACUCCUGAUAAUGUAUCCGUUGGGGUCGGAGUUGACUCGCUCGAUCUGGAGUCGACUCGGCUGUUGCUGGAGUCGACUCAUGCUUUACUGGAGACGACUCGCCCACUGUUCAGGAUUUGAAUUAAAGUGCUGUUCCGUUCUGGAGUCGACUC